Molecule: long non-coding RNA, 99 nt
Organism: Etheostoma spectabile (orangethroat darter)
Lineage: Eukaryota; Metazoa; Chordata; Actinopteri; Perciformes; Percidae
Exons: 3
Source: RefSeq, a predicted model, not a curated record
GCAAUUUUAAAAAGGCCAAAAGAAAGGAACUACAUAGAGAAGCCAGUAUAGCACGCAGAAGGAAACACACGCUUUGGAAAAUUGUUUUUACCGUGGUUG